Molecule: ribosomal RNA, 532 nt
Filed under: uncultured bacterium
Lineage: Bacteria
Description: bacterial SSU rRNA
Rfam family: Bacterial small subunit ribosomal RNA
Source: RNAcentral
AGUGGCGCAAGGGUGAGUAAGGCGACGGUAACCAACCCCAGGACUGGGUAUAGCCGCGGGAAACUGCGGGUAAUCCCCAGCGAUGUCGCGGCGAGGCAUCUCGCUGCGACCAAAGCUCCGGCGUCGUGGGACGGGCCGUCGUGGUAUUAGGUGGUUGGCGGGGUAACGGCCCACCAAGCCUGCGAUGCCUACCGGGCGUGCGAGCGUGGCCCGGCACACUGGGACUGUGACACUGCCCAGACUCCUACGGGAGGCUGCAGUCGAGAAUCUUCGGCAAUGGGCGCAAGCCUGACCGAGCGACGCCGCGUGGAGGACGAAGGCCUUCGGGUUGUAAACUCCUGUCGAGGGGGAAGAAGGCCCCGCAAGGGGCGUGACUGAUCCCUGGAGGAAGCACGGGCUAAGUUCGUGCCAGCAGCCGCGGUAAGACGAACCGUGCGAACGUUAUUCGGAAUCACUGGGCUUAAAGCGCGUGUAGGCGGGACGGCACGUCGGUCGCUGAAAGCCCCCGGCUCAACCGGGGAACGGGCGCCGA